AACGAACGUUGGCGGCGUGGAUUAGGCAUGCAAGUCGGGGGAAUCCCAGCAAUGGGGGAACCGGCGUAAGGGGCAGUAAGGCAUGGGUACCUACCCUGGGGUUCGGGAUAGCUGUCCGAGAGGGCAGGUAAUACCGGAUGACCUGGUGACAGCAAAGAUUUAUCGCCCUGGGAGGGGCCCAUGUGAUAUUAGCUAGUUGGUGAGGUAACGGCUCACCAAGGCUUAGAUGUCUAGCGGGUGUGAGAGCACGACCCGCGCCACUGGCACUGAGACACUGGCCAGACACCUACGGGUGGCUGCAGUCGAGGAUCUUCGGCAAUGAGCGCAAGCUUGACCGAGCGACGCCGCGUGGGCGAUGAAGGCCUUCGGGUUGUAAAGCCCUGUCGAGGGGGAGAAAAGGGUAAAACUUUGAUCUAUCCCUGGAGGAAGCACGGGCUAAGUUCGUGCCAGCAGCCGCUGUAACAC
This 465-nucleotide ribosomal RNA is filed under the name uncultured bacterium. RNAcentral describes it as "bacterial SSU rRNA". It matches the Rfam family "Bacterial small subunit ribosomal RNA", at positions 29 to 526 of the family's 1533-position model. The record is from RNAcentral.